AGCGUAUAUUAAAGUUGCUGCAGUUAAAAAGCUCGUAGUUGGAUUUCUGGCUUGAAACAUUUUGUCGGCCACGGUUUCGUGUGUUAGUGCAUUAUGUUCUGGCCAUCCUUCCUAUCGCUAUUUACCUUUCUUCAUUGAUUGGUAAGUGGUAUAGGAUCUUUUACUUUGAAAAAAUUAGAGUGUUUCAAGCAGGCUUUAUGCUAUGAAUACAUUAGCAUGGAAUAAUAAUUUAGGACUUCGGUUCUAUUUUGUUGGUUUCUAGGACUGAAGUAAUGAUUGAUAGGGACAGUUGGGGGUGCUAGUAUUCAGCGGCCAGAGGUGAAAUUCUCGGAUUCGCUGAAGACUAACUUAUGCGAAAGCAUUCACCAAGGAUGUCUUCUUUAAUCAAGAACGAAAGUUGUGGGAUCGAAGACGAUCAGAUACCGUCGUAGUCUCAACCAUAAACUAUGCCGACUAGGGAUGAACGAACGUUGCAUUUUCGACUUCAUUCGCACCUUAUGAGAAAUCAAAGUCUUUGGGUUCCGGGGGGAGUAUGGUCGCGAGGCUGAAACUUAAAGGAAUUGACGGAAGGGCACCACCAGGAGUGGAGCCUGCGGCUUAAUUUGACUCAACACGGGAAAACUUACCAGGUCCAGACACAGUAAGGAUUGACAGAUUGAAGAUCUUUCUUGAUUCUGUGGGUGGUGGUGCAUGGCCGUUCUUAGUUGGUGGAGUGAUUUCUCUGGUUAAUUCCGUUAACGAACGAGACCUCGACCUGCUAAAUAGUUCGACAAAGGA
Molecule: precursor RNA, 777 nt
Filed under: uncultured Cercozoa
Lineage: Eukaryota; Cercozoa
Description: partial 18S ribosomal RNA
Rfam family: Eukaryotic small subunit ribosomal RNA
Source: RNAcentral